RNAcentral lists this ribosomal RNA (449 nucleotides) under uncultured bacterium. RNAcentral's name for it is "bacterial SSU rRNA". It matches the Rfam family "Bacterial small subunit ribosomal RNA", at positions 355 to 796 of the family's 1533-position model. The record is from RNAcentral.
UCGAGAAUCAUUCGCAAUGGGCGCAAGCCUGACGAUGCGACGCCGUGUGAGCGAAGAAGGCCUUCGGGUCGUAAAGCUCUUUCGCCUGGGAACAAGAGAAGCUGGCUAAUACCCAGCUAAUUUGAGGGUACCAGGUAAAGAAGCACCGGCUAACUCCGUGCCAGCAGCUGCGGUAAUACGGAGGGUGCAAGCAUUAAUCGGAUUUAUUGGGCGUAAAGGGCGCGUAGGCGGGGAUGUAAGUCAGACGUGAAAUCCCGGGGCUCAACCUCGGAACCGCAUUUGAGACUACAUUUCUAGAGGGUAGGCGGAGAAAACGGAAUUCCACAAGUAGCGGUGAAAUGCGUAGAUAUGUGGAAGAACACCGGUGGCGAAGGCGGUUUUCUAGCUUAAACCUGACGCUGAUGCGCGAAAGCAAGGGGAGCAAACAGGAUUAGAUACCCCGGUAGUCC